This 1484-nucleotide long non-coding RNA is filed under the name Crocodylus porosus (Australian saltwater crocodile). Its description in RNAcentral is "lncRNA (ENSCPRG00005007759.1)". The record is from RNAcentral. Lineage: Eukaryota; Metazoa; Chordata; Crocodylia; Crocodylidae.
CUAUCGGCAGUGUGCUGUGUCAGGCUUCUGCCCAUGCUGUGCUUGCAACAAUUGCAACAACAUCGUUCUGGAUACAGAUAUCAUCAAUCAUUCAUGUAGCCAGGAAAGAGAAGUCUAGCUCCUUGGAACAAUAAGAAAUCAAUAUUAAACUCAGCAGAUUAAAGCCUGGACAGUUAAGGAAUAGAUACAUUACAUUAACCAAGUUAGUGAGUCUGAAUUUAUGGGGCUAAACUGGUGUCCUGAACAUGCUUUGAGAUUGCAGAAGUGAUAUGCCCAAUCAUGCCACUUGAGGGAGAGCCUUGUUAGGCAUCGCACUAAAAGGAUGUACAAAUGUGUGUUUUCUGUGUGUUGGCACGCAUUGUGGUAGCCGCCAAUUGAAUAGGCUAAGCUAACCCACUUGACUCUAUUGGUGGCAUCUCUGGCUGAUGGGUGAAGGUGCACUGACUGCAUAAUAAAGAAUGAACUUGCCCUGGCAUCAUUUCCAGGCCUCUUGUGGGCAGAGGAACUGCUGACCUGUGAAAUCCAAUCUUACCAGCAUGUUAAAAACUUCCAUUGAUCCUGGAUUGACAAUGCAGCCAUACAUAAUCUUAUCUCCAAGAGAUCUAUGUAAAAAUCUGACUUUAAAAACACAGAAAGGAAAGAGAAAAUUCCAGGAAAAGAUGUGGAAAUGGUGAGUGAAGAAAAGGCGGUACCCUGAAAGCCUGAAAGAAAAGCAGGGAAUGAAACAGCAGAGGGUUGCUUUUCAUAAUUGUACUGAUUUCUCUUUGGAAGCCACACCAUAGCUAGGUAUUGAAAACCCAUGAUUGGGACCAGUUUCUGCCCUUUCCUGUUAGUUAAAUGCUAUUGACAGGUUAGCAAUGGAGGUAAACUAUAGCUCAGUAUUUGUGUAAACAAGAUAACCAAAUGUCAUGGUAUAUACGGUGGACCUGAUCCCAAACUCACUGAAGUCAAUGAAAAUCUUUAACUGCAAUGGGUUUUAGAUCAUGCACCAUGACAUUGGUUUAUUCUCUGUUAAUGCUCUUAUUAGAGUUACCCAGUUUAGGACUUGAGGAUUGUCCUUACUGAUUUUGUUAAUAGCUAACAGAAAAACCUUCCCUUGCUUGUGCUUUUUAAAAACCCUUUUGUCACAUUUCAUUGUUUCACUUUUAUAAGACGAUACCAAAUCAAUCCUAGUUGAGGGGGAAAUAUUUAAGAAAUCAUAAAAAAUAUGAGUGGUCCAAGUUUCUGAACACAUCUUCCCCACUAAGUUAAAUUCUCUUUCCAGCUAGCAUCUGGCAUGUCAGCAUAAGUCUUCAGUGUUGCUGCCUUAUCCCAGUGCACUUGACACCCACCUGAAACUAGUUGCUCAUCCACAAGCAGGCAGAGUUCUUCAGUUCUGUUUUCUAGGUCAAAAUGCUGUUUAUUUGAGUUCAGUGCUGUUUGUAUACGUGAUGCAGUUUAGUGGGUUUUAUUACUCGUUCCAAUAAAGCCUUUAAAAUGUUUCA